GACGUAGGGCGCGAGCGUUGUCCGGAUUUAUUGGGCGUAAAGAGCUCGUAGGCGGCUUGUCGCGUCGAAUGUGAAAACCCACGGCUCAACUGUGGGCUUGCAGCCGAUACGGGCAGGCGUAGAGUUCGGUAGGGGGAGACUGGAAUUCCUGGUGUAGCGGUGAAAUGCGCAGAUAUCAGGAGGAACACCGGUGGCGAAGGCGGGUCUCUGGGGCCGAUACUGACGCUGAGGAGCGAAAGCGUGGGGGAGCGAACAGGG
RNAcentral lists this ribosomal RNA (258 nucleotides) under uncultured bacterium. Its description in RNAcentral is "partial 16S ribosomal RNA". It matches the Rfam family "Bacterial small subunit ribosomal RNA", at positions 524 to 777 of the family's 1533-position model. The record is from RNAcentral.